UACGUAGGCAGCGAGCGUUGUUCGGAAUUACUGGGCGUAAAGAGUGUGUAGGCGGUGCUCUAAGUUCGGUGUGAAAUCUCCCGGCUUAACUGGGAGGGUGCGCCGGAAACUGGAGUGCUCGAGCGUGGGAGAGGAAAGCGGAAUUCCUGGUGUAGCGGCGAAAUGCGUAGAUAUCAGGAGGAACACCGGUGGUGUAAACGGCUUUCUGGACCAUAACUGACGCUGAGGCACGAAAGCGUGGGUAGCAAACAGG
Molecule: ribosomal RNA, 253 nt
Filed under: uncultured bacterium
Lineage: Bacteria
Description: partial 16S ribosomal RNA
Rfam family: Bacterial small subunit ribosomal RNA
Source: RNAcentral